CAGCCGCCACGGGAAUACGGAGGGAGCUAGCGUUGUUCGGAAUUACUGGGCGUAAAGCGCACGUAGGCGGCUUUGUAAGUUAGAGGUGAAAGCCUGGAGCUCAACUCCAGAAUUGCCUUUAAGACUGCAUCGCUUGAAUCCAGGAGAGGUGAGUGGAAUUCCGAGUGUAGAGGUGAAAUUCGUAGAUAUUCGGAAGAACACCAGUGGCGAAGGCGGCUCACUGGACUGGUAUUGACGCUGAGGUGCGAAAGCGUGGGGAGCAAACAGGAUUAGAUACCCGCGUAGUCCCUGUCUCUUAUAC
This 301-nucleotide ribosomal RNA is filed under the name uncultured bacterium. RNAcentral describes it as "partial 16S ribosomal RNA". It matches the Rfam family "Bacterial small subunit ribosomal RNA", at positions 509 to 807 of the family's 1533-position model. The record is from RNAcentral.